Molecule: ribosomal RNA, 745 nt
Filed under: Procyttarium primordialis
Lineage: Eukaryota; Polycystinea; Collodaria; Collophidiidae
Description: SSU rRNA
Rfam family: Eukaryotic small subunit ribosomal RNA
Source: RNAcentral
CAUUUUAUGUGGUAUUAAUGAACUGCAAAGGAAUAUGAUUUAUCUUAUUUUAUAUUUUUGCACCUUUGGAAUUCGUUUUCUGAUAGUGGAAUAAGUUUGUGUUUACUUUGAGAAAAUUAGAGUGUUCAAAGCAGUCUUACGGCUUAAUAUUAAAGCAUGGAAUGAUAAAUAAUGACAUCGGUUAAUUUUUGUUGGUUUGAGAGGCUGAUGUAAUGAUUUAUAGAGUUAGUCGGAGGUAUUAGUAUUUUGUCGUUAGAAGUGAAAUUCCGGGAUCGACAAAAGACUAACAACUGCGAAAGUAUUUGCCUAGAAUUUGCUCCUUGAUCAAGAACGUAAGUUGGGGGAUCGAAGACGAUCAGAUACCGUCGUAGUCUCAACUUUAAACUAUAUCAGCUAGGGGUUGGCAAAUGUUUAUAUGACUUUGUUAGAACCUUAUGAGAAAUCAAAGCGUUUGGGUUCCGGGGGGAGUAUGGUCGCAAGGCUGAAACUUAAAGGAAUUGACGGAAGGGCACCACAAGAUGUGGAUCCUGUGGCUUAAUUUGACUCAACACUGGAAAACUCACCAGGUCCAGACAUAGGUAGGAUUGACAGAUUGAUAGCUUUUUCUUGAUUCUAUGGGUGGUGGUGCAUGGUCGUUCUUAGUUGGUGGAGUGAUUUGUCUGGUUAAUUCCGUUAACGAACGAGACUAUCACUUACUAAAUAGUACAUUUUUUUAAAUAGAAUAUUUGCUUCUUAGAGGGACUGG